UACGUAGGGUGCAAACGUUAUCCGGAUUUACUGGGCGUAAAGCGCUCGUAGGUUGUUUUGUAAGUUGAAUAUUAAAUACUCCGGCUCAACUGGAGAAAAGUAUUCAAAACUACAUUACUAGAGUUAUGCAGGGGUAGAUGGAACUUACGGUGUAGCAGUGAAAUGCGUAGAUAUCGUAAGGAACGCCAAUGGUGAAGACAGUCUACUGGGCAUUAACUGACACUGAGGAGCGAAAGCGUGGGGAG
RNAcentral lists this ribosomal RNA (245 nucleotides) under uncultured bacterium. RNAcentral describes it as "partial 16S ribosomal RNA". It matches the Rfam family "Bacterial small subunit ribosomal RNA", at positions 524 to 768 of the family's 1533-position model. The record is from RNAcentral.